AACGAACGCUGGCGGCAGGCUUAACACAUGCAAGUCGAACGCCCCGCAAGGGGAGUGGCAGACGGGUGAGUAACGCGUGGGAACAUACCCUUUUCUACGGAAUAGCUCUGGGAAACUGGAAUUAAUACCGUAUACGCCCUACGGGGGAAAGAUUUAUCGGGGAAGGAUUGGCCCGCGUUGGAUUAGCUAGUUGGUGGGGUAAAGGCCUACCAAGGCGACGAUCCAUAGCUGGUCUGAGAGGAUGAUCAGCCACAUUGGGACUGAGACACGGCCCAAACUCCCACGGGAGGCAGCAGUGGGGAAUAUUGGACAAUGGGCGCAAGCCUGAUCCAGCCAUGCCGCGUGAGUGAUGAAGGCCUUAGGGUUGUAAAGCUCUUUCACCGAUGAAGAUAAUGACGGUAGUCGGAGAAGAAGCCCCGGCUAACUUCGUG
RNAcentral lists this ribosomal RNA (431 nucleotides) under uncultured bacterium. RNAcentral describes it as "partial 16S ribosomal RNA". It matches the Rfam family "Bacterial small subunit ribosomal RNA", at positions 29 to 507 of the family's 1533-position model. The record is from RNAcentral.